UACGUAGGAGGCGAGCGUUGUCCGGAAUUACUGGGCGUAAAGAGCGCGUAGGCGGCACGGUACGACAGGUGUGAAAGCCCCCGGCUCAACUGGGGAGAGUCAUCUGUAACGGCCGAGCUAAGAGUGCAGGAGAGGGAAGUAGAACUCCGGGAGUAGCGGUGAAAUGCGUAGAGACCCGGAGGAAUACCAGUGGCGAAGGCGGCUUCCUGGUCUGCGACUGACGCUGUGGCGCGAAAGCUAGGGGAGCAAACGG
Molecule: ribosomal RNA, 253 nt
Filed under: uncultured bacterium
Lineage: Bacteria
Description: partial 16S ribosomal RNA
Rfam family: Bacterial small subunit ribosomal RNA
Source: RNAcentral